RNAcentral lists this ribosomal RNA (421 nucleotides) under uncultured bacterium. RNAcentral describes it as "partial 16S ribosomal RNA". It matches the Rfam family "Bacterial small subunit ribosomal RNA", at positions 361 to 774 of the family's 1533-position model. The record is from RNAcentral.
AUCUUAGACAAUGGGGGCAACCAUGAUCCAGCCAUGCCGCGUGUGUGAAGAAGGUCUUCGGAUUGUAAAGCACUUUAAGUUGGGAGGAAGGGCUUUAGGUUAAUACCCUGAAGUUUUGACGUUCCCAACAGAAUAAGCACCGGCUCACUCUGUGCCAGCAGCCGCGGUAAUACAGAGGGACCAAGCGUUAAUCGGAAUUACUGGGCGUAAAGCGCGCGUAGGUGGUUCAGUAAGAUGGGUGUGAAAUGCCCGGGCUUAACCUGGGAACUGCUUUCAUAACUGCUGAGCUAGAGUACGGUAGAGGGUAGUGGAAUUUCCUGUGUAGCGGUGAAAUGCGUAGAUAUAGGAAGGAACACCAGUGGCGAAGGCGACUACCUGGACUGAUACUGACACUGAGGUGCGAAAGCGUGGGGAGCAAACA